UUUAAUUGAAGAGUUUGAUCAUGGCUCAGAUUGAACGUUGGCGGCAGGCCUAACACAUGCAAGUCGAACGGUAGCAGGAAGUGCUUGC
RNAcentral lists this ribosomal RNA (88 nucleotides) under Alteromonas sp. RNAcentral's name for it is "partial 16S ribosomal RNA". It matches the Rfam family "Bacterial small subunit ribosomal RNA", at positions 1 to 86 of the family's 1533-position model. The record is from RNAcentral. Lineage: Bacteria; Pseudomonadati; Pseudomonadota; Gammaproteobacteria; Alteromonadales; Alteromonadaceae.